RNAcentral lists this ribosomal RNA (256 nucleotides) under uncultured prokaryote. Its description in RNAcentral is "partial 16S ribosomal RNA". It matches the Rfam family "Bacterial small subunit ribosomal RNA", at positions 524 to 777 of the family's 1533-position model. The record is from RNAcentral.
UACGGAGGAUCCGAGCGUUAUCCGGAUUUAUUGGGUUUAAAGGGUGCGCAGGUUGUUUGAUAAGUCAGUGGUGAAAGUCUGUCGCUUAACGGUAGGAUUGCCAUUGAUACUGUUAGACUUGAAUAUGGAUGAGGUAGGCGGAAUGUGUAGUGUAGCGGUGAAAUGCAUAGAUAUUACACAGAACACCGAUUGCGAAGGCAGCUUACUAAUCCAUCAUUGACGCUGAGGCACAAAAGACGUGGGGAGUCAAACAGGA